This 253-nucleotide ribosomal RNA is filed under the name uncultured bacterium. Its description in RNAcentral is "partial 16S ribosomal RNA". It matches the Rfam family "Bacterial small subunit ribosomal RNA", at positions 524 to 776 of the family's 1533-position model. The record is from RNAcentral.
UACGUAGGCAGCAAGCGUUGUUCGGAAUUACUGGGCGUAAAGAGUGUGUAGGCGGUGUUCCAAGUCUGUCGUGAAAUCUCCCGGCUUAACUGGGAGGGUGCGGCGGAAACUGGGAUGCUCGAGGAUGGGAGAGGAAAGCGGAAUUCCUGGUGUAGCGGUGAAAUGCGUAGAUAUCAGGAGGAACACCUGCGGUGUAGACAGCUUUCUGGACCAUUUCUGACGCUGAGACACGAAAGCGUGGGUAGCAAACAGG